GCAGUCGAACGAGAAUCUGUGGAAAGAGGAUUCGUCCAAUUGAAACAGAGGACAGUGGCGGACGGGUGAGUAACGCGUGAGGAACCUGCCUUUCAGAGGGGGACAACAGUUGGAAACGACUGCUAAUACCGCAUAACACAUUGAGGUCGCAUGGCCUUAAUGUCAAAGAUUUAUCGCUGAAAGAUGGCCUCGCGUCUGAUUAGCUAGUUGGUGAGGUAACGGCCCACCAAGGCGACGAUCAGUAGCCGGACUGAGAGGUUGAACGGCCACAUUGGGACUGAGAUACGGCCCAGACUCCUACGGGAGGCAGCAGUGGGGAAUAUUGGGCAAUGGGCGCAAGCCUGACCCAGCAACGCCGCGUGAAGGAAGAAGGCUUUCGGGUUGUAAACUUCUUUUGUCAGGGACGAGUAGAAGACGGUACCUGACGAAUAAGCCACGGCUAACUACGUGCCAGCAGCCGCGGUAAUACGUAGGUGGCAAGCGUUGUCCAGAUUUACUGGGUGUAAAGGGCGUGUAGCCGGGAGGGCAAGUCAGAUGUGAAAUCCACGGGCUUAACUCGUGAACUGCAUUUGAAACUGUUCUUCUUGAGUAUCGGAGAGGCAAUCGGAAUUCCUAGUGUAGCGGUGAAAUGCGUAGAUAUUAGGAGGAACACCAGUGGCGAAGGCGGAUUGCUGGACGACAACUGACGGUGAGGCGCGAAAGCGUGGGGAGCAAACAGGAUUAGAUACCCUGGUAGUCCACGCUGUAAACGAUGAAUACUAGGUGUGCGGGGACUGACCCCCUGCGCGCCGCAGUUAACACAAUAAGUAUUCCACCUGGGGAG
Molecule: ribosomal RNA, 823 nt
Filed under: uncultured bacterium
Lineage: Bacteria
Description: bacterial SSU rRNA
Rfam family: Bacterial small subunit ribosomal RNA
Source: RNAcentral